AUGAAGAUAGCAGGAGAGCGGCCAAUGACGAAUACCAUAAUGGUAUAACACGUCGGCCCGCCGAAGAAGUAAGCGAAAAGCGAUAUGAUCCCAUCAUGUUUUAAUUCGUAAAUCUUUCAGGCACCAGGUUGCAGUAAUGCAAUAGGUAUGGACUGUUAUUGGAGG
Molecule: non-coding RNA, 165 nt
Filed under: Photobacterium kishitanii
Lineage: Bacteria; Pseudomonadati; Pseudomonadota; Gammaproteobacteria; Vibrionales; Vibrionaceae
Description: Glycine
Rfam family: Glycine riboswitch aptamer
About the family: This family represents the bacterial glycine riboswitch. Glycine riboswitches usually consist of two metabolite-binding aptamers domains with similar structures in tandem.
Source: RNAcentral